UUACUCCCUCCCAUAGCUAUUAUUAUACUGAUAGAUUCAUUUCGGAAAGUAAAACAGAAAUUUCUUACACAAGUCCUUUGUUUUUCCCUCGAAUUUUCAUCUGUUUUUCUCCUUUCUCAUGCUCAUAUACUUAUUGUUUCUACUUUGUUUCUGAGUUAUUGAGCCGUCUAUUUUCUGUUUUGAACAUUACAUCCACAUAUUUUUUCUUCUCAUACAUCCUCAUGUCGUUAUUACUUUCGACUUCCUCAUCCAUUUCUAGAAAGAAGUACGAUGUGUUCUUGAGUUUUAGAGGUGAAGAUACCCGCAAGAGCUUUACGGAUCAUCUCUACCAUGCUCUAAAUAGAAGUGGGAUCGUCACUUUUAGAGAUGAUCCAAAGUUGGAGGCUGGUGAAGAGAUCGCACCGGAACUCUUCAAGGCAAUUCAGCAAUCAUGGUGCUCGGUAAUCGUUUUUUCCGAGACCUAUGCCCUUUCUGGUUGGUGCUUGGAGGAGCUUGCGGAAUUGUUAAACAAAAAAAAUGACAAGGCUCAUAAAGUAUUUCUAAUUUUCUACCAUGUUGAUCCAUCUGAUUUAAGAAAACAAAAAGGAAAAGUUGAAGAAGCCUUUGCCAAACAGGAAGAAAGAUACAAGGAAGAUAAAUACAAGAUCCAAAAGUGGCGAAAUGCUUUGACUGAAGUGGCUAACAUCUCGGGAUGGCAUUUAAAUAAUAGAUCGGAAUUUAAUUUCUUUGUAGGCACGAAUCAGAGUUUAUCAAAGAUAUUGUUAAGAAGAUAUCAGCGAAAUUAUGUCAAACAUAUCCAAUUGUUCAUGAUGAGUUGGUUGGAAUUAGUUUACCUUUGGAGGAGUUGUAUUCAAAAAUAAACAUUGGGGAAGACGAUGUCCGCAUUAUUGGAAUUUGCGGAAUGGGUGGCAUCGGUAAAACAACUCUUGCAAAAGUUGCUUACGCUCAAAUGUUGCCUCAUUUUGAAGGCAUUUGCAAAUUCAGUAGAAAAGAUUGAUAUUAUUAUGCCCGGAGGUGAAAUCCCAGAAUGGUUUAGCCAACAAAAAAAUGAGUCUUCAAUAAAGAUACACCUACCUAUCAACCUUCGGAAAGAUAGUCAAUGGGUUGGAGUUGCUUGUUGCUGCAUUUUUGUCAGUAAUGAUGCUUCAAGUGAUGACGAGUCUAUCGGUUGUCGAGCAUGUCUCUAUUGUAGAAAUUCUGAACAAGCCAGCUGUAUUGGAUCUAUUUUUCGAAGUAAUUAUUGGACUGGCUGGGGGUUGAAAAAACCAAUAAUGAAAGAUCACCUUUUUCUUCCUUGUUGGUCUCGUGAUAAAUUAUAUCCUUCCUUGGUGGAUAAAUAUGAUGACUGUGAAACCAAUAAUUUAUGGACAACAGAUUGUUUAGAUCAGAUAUGCAAUGAGCUUGAGGUGUGUUUCGCAUCUUCAUUUGGACGCAAUACUAAAGUGAAGAAGUGCAGUGUUAGAAUAGUGUAUGAGACAGAUUUGGAUGAAAUAAAA
Gossypium arboreum is the source of this 1496-nucleotide RNA transcript. It is a transcript of the gene named disease resistance protein RPV1-like, with no coding region annotated. The transcript is spliced from 3 exons. The record is from RefSeq and is a predicted model, not a curated record. Lineage: Eukaryota; Viridiplantae; Streptophyta; Magnoliopsida; Malvales; Malvaceae.